UACGGGGGGGGCAAGCGUUGUUCGGAAUUACUGGGCGUAAAGGGCUCGUAGGCGGCCAACUAAGUCGGAUGUGAAAUCCCCAGGCUUAACCUGGGAACUGCAUCCGAUACUGGAUGGCUUGAAUCCGGGAGAGGGAUGCAGAAUUCCAGGUGUAGCGGUGAAAUGCGUAGAUAUCUGGAGGAAUCCCGGUGGCGAAGGCGGCAUCCUGGACCGGCAUUGACGCUGAUGAGCGAAAGCUAGGGGAGCAAACGGG
This 253-nucleotide ribosomal RNA is filed under the name uncultured bacterium. RNAcentral describes it as "partial 16S ribosomal RNA". It matches the Rfam family "Bacterial small subunit ribosomal RNA", at positions 524 to 776 of the family's 1533-position model. The record is from RNAcentral.